RNAcentral lists this ribosomal RNA (392 nucleotides) under uncultured bacterium. RNAcentral describes it as "partial 16S ribosomal RNA". It matches the Rfam family "Bacterial small subunit ribosomal RNA", at positions 523 to 918 of the family's 1533-position model. The record is from RNAcentral.
AUACGGAGGAUCCGAGCGUUAUCCGGAUUUAUUGGGUUUAAAGGGUGCGCAGGCGGCCAUUUAAGUCAGCGGUUAAAUCGUGGGGCUCAACCCCAUUCUGCCGUUGAUACUGGGUGGCUUGAUUGCGGUCGAGGUUGGCGGAAUUCGUUGUGUAGCGGUGAAAUGCAUAGAUAUGACGAAGAACACCGAGUGCGUAGGCAGCUGACCAGACCGCAAAUGACGCUCAUGCACGAAAGUGCGGGGAUCGAACAGGAUUAGAUACCCUGGUAGUCCGCACAGUAAACGAUGAAUACUUGUUUUCGGCGAUAUAAUGUCGGAGGCAAAGCGAAAGCGAUAAGUAUUCCACCUGGGGAGUACGCCGGCAACGGUGAAACUCAAAUGAAUUGACGGGG